UGCCAAUCACUGCGCAAAGACCUCGCAGUGCAUCCCGGGACCUCCGCUGGGUUCUUUGUCCCUCACGCCCUGGUAGUUCCCGCCCCUGGGCCUGCGGGCUGUGCCUCUGCACUUGAGCGUUUUUCGGGAGGAAGGGCCUGGGGUUUAUUUGACCUGGGCCUCGUGGCAUUUCCCUGGGUCUCCCCAGCCUGUGGGGCCCUGAGUGGGGAUCGGCACUAGCUUUGUUUUCCGCAGACCAGGGGUCCCCAGGCCUGCAGUGUCGACUGGCAACAUGAAAACUGGGCAUGUGGCCCUGCAGACUUCCCAAGUAUUUAGGAUACAAGCCGAGGUUGGAGAGUUACCUUCUGAAGAAUCCCUUUUAAAUAUAUCCGUUCCGGAGAUACCAUCGUGAUUGAGCGGUCCCUGAACCUGUCUAGUAUCCAUGAGGAUGCCGGUUCCAUCCCUGGCCUUGAGGUUCCUAAGGUUCUGGGGUAGCUGUCGUGCUGGUUGCAGAUGUGUCUUGGAUCCAGCAUUGUGUGGCUUGGCUGUGGCAUAG
Molecule: long non-coding RNA, 535 nt
Organism: Phacochoerus africanus (Common warthog)
Lineage: Eukaryota; Metazoa; Chordata; Mammalia; Artiodactyla; Suidae
Exons: 3
Source: RefSeq, a predicted model, not a curated record